This 2718-nucleotide long non-coding RNA is filed under the name Daucus carota (carrot). RNAcentral's name for it is "long non-coding RNA (DCAR_LNC003920)". The record is from RNAcentral. Lineage: Eukaryota; Viridiplantae; Streptophyta; Magnoliopsida; Apiales; Apiaceae.
AAAUCAUAAAACCAGUUAAAACCGAGAAAUUCCCGAGAGAGUUCUUCGUGUUCUUGAGAUUCAAACGAGGAUUUGGACGCGUUAUCGGACUCGGAUUUUGGCGUUCAAGGACUCAAAUUGAAGGUUUUAACAAGUAGAAUCAUAAUCUAGCAUCAAAAUCAGUGCAGCAACAUCAGGUGGGUUUGGAUUUUGAGUUUUAAAUUCGAAGUAAAUAAUCUCAAAUUAGGGAUUUUUGAUUUUGAAGUUGUUUGUGUGAUUUGAUGAUUGUAUGUUGUAGAUAAUCUUCUCCUGAUCAUUUUGGUAUAUCAUAUGCUUGAUUUGGAGUUCAAUAACGUGUUCAAUUUGAGGUUUAAUCUUCGAAAUCAGGAAUUAGGGUUUAUGUGCGCGAUGAAUGUUUUCAAUUGGAAAUUAGGGUUAUUUAAUCUAGGAGGUAGAAGUGAAAUUGGAUGAUACCAUCAUGUUGGUUGUGAUCUCAGGAACGUGUACAUAGCUUCAAAUCUUAGCUGAGGUUCGUGAAUCGAACGAAUCGAUUCAAAGAAAACUCGCCGGCGACGGCGAGUUUCUUCGAUCGAUUACGGUCGAUUCCGGCCGUUUCUGGUGAAAUCGAUUGUAUGGAUGAGUUGGGGAGGCUUGAUACUCCAUAUCUGCACCAUUUGGAGGCUAUUGGUGGCCGGAAUCGCCACCUCCGGCGAAGCCAGGGGCGGCGGCUGCAAAAUUGCAGUUUGGCCCCUGGACUUUUGGAGGUGGUGAAGUUUAGCCACCCAAGUUUCAUUUUUGACAUUUAGACCCCUGAAGUUUCCAAAGUUGCAAAUCAAACCCUGUAGUUUUCAAAACUUGCAAUUCAAACCCUGGAUUUUUAAAAAGUUUUAAAAAAAUGAUUUUUGAUUUAAAUUUAAUUUCGAAAAUCAUUUAUUUUAAUUUCAAAAAUUGUUUUUAAUUAUUUAUUAAUUCAAAAAUAAAUCUGAUUUAAUUUAUUAAUUAAUUUUAAUUAGUAAUUAAUUAUUAUAAUUAGUCAAUUAAUUUAAUUAUUAAUUGAUUAAUUGUUUUAAUUAAUUAUUAAUUGAUUUUAAUUGAUUUAUUAAUUAGAUUUAAUUAUUUUAAAUAAUUUUAAAUGAUUUUAAAAUUCCGAAAAAUAGUUUCGAGCUUUAAAAUAUUAUUCUAAAAUAUGAUUGAAGCUCGUUAAUUGAUUUCAAAUGAUUUCGGACUUGAUUUCGAGUAUCCAAAAAUGGAUUAUUUAUUUAUAAAAUGAUUCUUUGACCCGUUUUAAUUCCGAAAAAUGUUUAAAAAUUCAUAAUAAAUACCAGAAAAGUCCGUUUGACUUCAAACCUCUUUUGAAAAAUAUAUUUUAUUAAAUAUUUUAUGUGAUAUGUGCUAUGUGCUAUCUGAUUGAUAUGUUAUGUGUUUACGUGAUUGAUAUAAAAUUGUUUUUGACAUAUCUUUUGAUCCGUAAAUCGGAUUUGGGUGAAACGAAGGGUAGAUAGAAGCUCGUUUCGAAUAAAGGAUGAUGAGAAUAGUAUGAGAUCACAUAUUGAUAAUUAGUUGUGAUGAUUAGCAGAGAAGCGAGGCGUAAUAAAGGGGAAAGCAAGUGGAUAUAGUAUAGUUUAUCGAGCAGGAGCUAUUGAAAUUUGAAAUCGUCAGUAUAAGGCAAGUUUCCUUGAUACUUUCCUUCAAUUAUAUAUAUAUGAUCCUUGAUGUGAUUGCUUUGCUAGCUUUCUAAUUCACUCAUGACACUUAUUGAGCCAUAUCAUGAAUUGUUUAAUUCAUCGAUUCUUAAACCAUCAACCAGAUUCUUUGACUAUCACUUGAACUAUUCAUUCAUUGAUUCUUGAGCCAUUAACUUGAUUCUUUGAUAUCUAUUUUGGAAACCUUAUUCAAUUGUAAACCUUCAAACCUUGAGAUUUUUGGAUAACUACCAUAUAAACCUUAUUUCAAUGUUCUGACACACCUUUGAUAUCCAAACCAAUUGACUGGAAGUCAAUCAUACCUGGAAUACCAUACACCCCACAAUUGUGAUUCCUUUUCAAUAACCUAAUUUCUUUGGACUUGAAAACACCCUUUUGACAUGUGAAUUCUUUAAUAAAACCAGAAACCUUCUUUCAUACAGACCAUGACUAUUGUUUCACUUGAAAUCCAGAUAUGCUAUAUUUGAUCCUUUGACUCGUGGAAUUAUUCCUGAUUCUUAUUGUAGAAUAUCUUAAAGAUAUUGCUGAAAUGAAUUCUGUUUCUGCUCCAAAAUUUAAUCAUGUUCUUAAUGAUUCUGUUUAUUGCAUUAUAUUGUUAUUCAUCCUGAUUUAUAAUAGAAUUGGAUAGUUUUUCUUAAAUGGACCAAAUGAAUGGUCAGACCAGAUGAGUGGUCACUUUAGGCCAAUGUGUGCCUUGGAUCCAGUAAACGAGCAUGGCGGGGCCUGCUCGGGGUUAGUGUCUGACUGAUCAGCAGCCUAACCUUUGGUUUUUAAAAAUAAAAUUUAAUAUCCAAUUCUAAUUGAUACUCUAAAAAGAAACUUUGACAUUGAGGUUGAUUCUAUUAAAUAUUGAUUUCCAUCAUCUUUUGAUAAAUGUUUAAAUGGAUAUUAUUAUACUUGCUGAGCUUGUCAGCUCACUCUUGCGAUACUCUAUGUUCUUUCCAGUGAAAGCAGAGAAGGUUGGUAACGAUGAUACUCAGGCUAGUGGUAAGGCCAGGAUUCCAGGCUGAGAGAUGGAGAGAGCUAUCGGCAGCGC